CCUACGGGAGGCAGCAGUGGGGAAUAUUGCACAAUGGGCGAAAGCCUGAUGCAGCAACGCCGCGUGAGCGAUGAAGGCCUUCGGGUCGUAAAGCUCUGUCCUCAAGGAAGAUAAUGGCGGUCCUUGAGGAGGAAGCCCCGGCUAACUACGUGCCAGCAGCCGCGGUAGUACGUCGGGGGCUAGCGUUAUCGGGAAUUACUGGGCGUAAGGGGUGCGUAGGUGGUUUCUUAAGUCAGAGGUGAAAGGGUAGGGUUCAACCGUAGUAAGCCUUUGAAACUGGGAAACUGGAGUGCAGGAGAGGAGAGUGGAAUUCCUAGUGUAGCGGUGAAAUGCGUAGAUAUUAGGAAGAACACCACUUGCGAAGGCGGCUUUCUGGACUGUAACUGACACUGAGGCACGAAAGCGUGGGGAGCAAACAGGAUUAGAUACCCUAGUAGUC
RNAcentral lists this ribosomal RNA (439 nucleotides) under uncultured bacterium. Its description in RNAcentral is "partial 16S ribosomal RNA". It matches the Rfam family "Bacterial small subunit ribosomal RNA", at positions 338 to 795 of the family's 1533-position model. The record is from RNAcentral.